UUUCCAUUCUUGGCAUGCAUGCUGUUCCUUUGUACUCGUGUGUAUGUGUUAUGGACGUAGAACAAGUCCAGUGCCGUGGCUUCGGUGGCAGAAUGUUCCCUGUCUUCUGGUUCUAUCCUCAGUAGCUGGGGCAUUC
This is a small nucleolar RNA of Salmo trutta (river trout), 136 nucleotides long. NCBI's taxonomy places the organism in Eukaryota, Metazoa, Chordata, Actinopteri, Salmoniformes, Salmonidae. The record is from Ensembl.